AAUGAACGCUGGCGGCGCGCCUAAUACAUGCAAGUCGAGCGAGAAGACGUAGCAAUACGUUUGUAAAGCGGCGAACGGGUGAGGAAUACAUGGGUAACCUACCCUCGAGUGGGGAAUAACUAGCCGAAAGGUUAGCUAAUACCGCGUACGCUUCUUGGACUUCGGUUCAGGGAGGAAAGCGAUACCGUGGGUAUCGCGCUCUUGGAUGGGCUCAUGUCCUAUCAGCUUGNGGUGAGGUAACGGCUCACCAAGGCUUCGACGGGUAGCUGGUCUGAGAGGACGAUCAGCCACACUGGCACUGCGACACGGGCCAGACUCCUACGGGAGGCAGCAGUAAGGAAUAUUGCGCAAUGGGCGAAAGCCUGACGCAGCGACGCCGCGUGGGGGAUGAAGGUC
RNAcentral lists this ribosomal RNA (396 nucleotides) under uncultured bacterium. Its description in RNAcentral is "bacterial SSU rRNA". It matches the Rfam family "Bacterial small subunit ribosomal RNA", at positions 29 to 416 of the family's 1533-position model. The record is from RNAcentral.